GAUGUUCCCCGUGUUGAUGGGCAGUUGGCAGUCGCAAGGGCGUUUGGUGAUAGGAGCUUAAAGAAACAUUUGAGUUCAGAGCCUUAUGUGGUAAUGGAGAUGAUAGAUGACGAGACCGAAUUUGUUAUCUUGGCAAGUGAUGGAUUGUGGAAGGUUAUGUCAAAUGAAGAAGCGGUAGACUCGAUCAGGCAUAUAAAAGACGCGCAUGCAGCUGCCAAACACUUGACAGAGGAGGCCCUCAAGAGGAAGAGCAAAGAUGAUAUCUCUUGUAUAGUUGUGAGAUUUCACUGAGUUCAUCAUGGAUUUCUGUUUCUGUCCCAACAGCUGAAAAAUGGAAG
Molecule: unclassified non-coding RNA, 338 nt
Filed under: Hevea brasiliensis (rubber tree)
Lineage: Eukaryota; Viridiplantae; Streptophyta; Magnoliopsida; Malpighiales; Euphorbiaceae
Source: RNAcentral